This 93-nucleotide non-coding RNA is filed under the name Rattus norvegicus (Norway rat). Lineage: Eukaryota; Metazoa; Chordata; Mammalia; Rodentia; Muridae. The record is from RNAcentral.
GGGGUUGGGGAUUUAGCUCAGUGGUAGAGCGCUUGCCUAGCAAGCGCAAGGCCCUGGGUUCGGUCCUCAGCUCCGAAAAAAAAAAAAAAAAAA